This 242-nucleotide ribosomal RNA is filed under the name Austrolycus depressiceps. Its description in RNAcentral is "partial 28S ribosomal RNA". Lineage: Eukaryota; Metazoa; Chordata; Actinopteri; Perciformes; Zoarcidae. The record is from RNAcentral.
CAGAAUCCCGCCUAGACGUAACGAUACCAUAGCGCCGUGGCGCUUCGGUUGGUCCCGGAUAGCCGGCUUCGGCCGGUGAGUAGAGCCGUUCGUGACGGGGCUGGGGCGUGGCCGGAUGAUGGUCGCCCCUCUCCUAUCUCGCACCGCAAGUUUGUGGAGAGCCUGGUGCUAAAUCACUUGUAAACGACCUGAUUCUGGGUCAGGGUUUCGUACGUAGCAGAGCAGCUCCCUCGCUGCGAUCU